Molecule: RNA transcript, 4661 nt
Organism: Hylaeus anthracinus
Lineage: Eukaryota; Metazoa; Arthropoda; Insecta; Hymenoptera; Colletidae
Gene name: glucose dehydrogenase [FAD, quinone]
Exons: 5
Source: RefSeq, a predicted model, not a curated record
CAAGGUUCCAUUUCUACAGGGGGCCAAGUCAAUGGUACAGGAAGAAGAACGAUCCCACGAGGAAGGCGGAGAUGAACGUCGAUGGAACGAGCACGAGUCGAAGGAAAAGGUGGGGAAGUCGUCGACCGUUAUGCGGCGUGUUCAGCUUCGAAAGGUUCGUAACCUGUUCACCAGCCGCCGUUCCAAUCUCGACAGAUCCAGCAUGCGGACGUCCGUGCAAGGAGCAAGGUCACGGUCAGUGUUACACCUUCCUUCGUGUGGCUGUCUCAUCGACCACGAGGAUUCCCCUGCGUUCUCCAAGUGAUCAAAAAAGCGUUGAACGCUGGCCUCUUUUCUCGUUUCGAGUUUUCUGGGCCAUCGAACUGAACGCCAGUGAUCUCGAGGAGGAACCAAAAGUCGAGUUCCUUAGUUUCGUUGGCAUCGAAAGGACUUUCUUCAAGGAAGUGUUUCUUCUUCGAAGCAUCGUCUUUUAAAUUUUUAAUUAUUUGUGAAUUGUUUGUGAGUUCUUAGCGUGAUCUAUUCGGUUGAUUCUUGGAGGAGCUGGAUCUCGGAAGCUAGAAGACUAAUGUACGCGGAACAGUGGGACACUUUUCUCAAGUUUUGUUAGAAUUCCUUCUCUUAGUAUCGAUGCUUCGAAAUACAGCGUUUAGGCUAUGAUAGAGGAGUUAGCAGAGUGCAUGUAUAUGAAGAAAGAAAAGUGACCACAGGACAUUUUCGAAUUAUUCUGGAAUUGUCGAUGAGUUUUUAGUGUGAUCUAUUCAGUUGGAGGAGCUAGAUCUCUGAAGCUAGAAGACUGAUACGUGGAACAGUGGGACACUUUUUUCAAGUUUUGUUAGAAUUCCUUCUCUUAAUAUCGAUGCUUCGAAAUACAGUGUUUAGGCCAAGAUAGAAGAGUUAACAGAGUGCAAGUGUACGAAGAAAGUAACCCAACCAGGCCAACUUUUCAAUUAUUUAUGAAUUAUUGACGAGCUCUCAGUGCAACUUGCUAGGUUGACACUUGGAAGAGCUAGAGCACUGGUAGACUAGUGAAGUUAUUCAAAUUUCUGUCUCGAAAAUCGCCAUUCCAUUCAAGAUAAAAAAUCUAUCAAACUACAAGUGUACGAUGAAAGAAAGGUGACAAGAAAGCUAAUGUAUAUCGAACUCAGCGGACAGAGAAAGCCUCUCGAAGAGAGUUCGAUCGAAAAUUCUAGAUGUUUAAGUGAAUGGGAGAUCGUACAAGAACUUCAUAGAUAUCCUACUAGAUUCCAUAUAUUUCAAAUAGCCGAACCAUUCGGAAGAAUGUACUCUCUGUGACGAAUCACGUGGACAACGGAAGGGGUUGAAAGCAAACGUGACUGAGCAAUGUAAAAGCCGGGAAAUCCUCUUUCCGAAGGAUGGAUACGUGUAACGUCUAAGUGCAUCGAUUACUCAGAGGAAACGAAGCUUCUGGAGUGCACGUUAUCUCCUUAUCUCCCAGGAAAGUAGGUGAUCGUUCAGGGUAAUUACAGGAGAAUAAAAUGGGUAUCGAGAGCGUUUUAGCAGGAGGUCUGACCUCUGCAUCGACAGGACUUUCAUGGUUCUUUCCGGUCCUCGCGGCCGCGCUCGUCUACUUCCAAUAUGAAGUUAUGGACAACGAAGCGCCACCGAUUAAUAUACCAUCCGAGGUGCUCCUGCCAUCCUACGAUUUUAUUGUGAUAGGAGCCGGUUCUGCAGGAGCCGUAGUAGCGAGUCGCCUCUCAGAGAUUGAAAACUGGAACGUGCUUCUUUUGGAAGCUGGAGGCGACGAAACCGAAAUCUCGGAUGUGCCUCUUCUAGCUGGCUAUUUGCAGCUUAGUCAGCUCGAUUGGCAAUACAAAACCGAACCAGACGAAGGUGCUUGUCGAGCGAUGGAGAACGGUCGGUGCAACUGGCCGCGAGGCAAGGUGAUCGGAGGCAGCAGCGUCCUCAACUACAUGCUCUACCUUCGCGGCAACAAACGCGACUACGACAUCUGGGAGCAACAAGGUAACCCAGGCUGGGGUUCCAGGGAGGUCCUCUACUACUUCAAGAAAUCCGAGGACAACCAGAAUCCCUACUUAACGCACACCCCGUACCACUCGACUGGCGGUUACCUCACCGUUCAGGAAGCGCCCUGGCACACGCCUCUGGCCGCAGCGUUCGUCCAAGCUGGCCAAGAGAUGGGCUACGAGAAUCGCGACAUAAAUGGCGAGAAACACACGGGCUUCAUGAUCGCCCAGGGUACCAUCAGACGUGGAAGUCGUUGCUCCACGGCCAAGGCUUUCCUGCGACCAGCCAGGCUGCGCAAGAACCUCCACGUCGCCAUGCACUCCCACGUCACCAAGGUCCUGAUAGACCCAAAGUCCAAACGCACCUAUGGAGUGGAGUUCGUCAGGGAUGGAAAGGUGAUUCGUAUACGCGCUAAAAAGGAAGUAAUCGUGUCUGGAGGAUCGGUAAAUUCCCCUCAAAUAUUGAUGCUGUCAGGAUUAGGACCUAGGGAACAUCUUCAGCAACAUGGGAUUCCUGUGAUUCAAGACCUCAGAGUGGGUCACAACCUCCAGGACCACGUGGGUCUGGGUGGUCUCACGUUCAUGGUCAACCAGGAGAUCUCCAUGGUGGAGAAGAGGCUGCACAGCGUCCAGGCUGUGAUGCAGUACGCCAUCUUUGGCGAUGGUCCCUUGACGGUUCUAGGAGGUGUCGAAGGAUUAGCAUUCGUCAAUACGAAGUACGUGAAUGUUUCUGAUGAUUUCCCGGACAUUGAGCUGCACUUUAUAUCGGGUUCGACUAAUUCUGACGGGGGCAGACACAUCAGGAAGGUCCAUGGACUCACUAAGCGAUUCUAUGACGAUGUUUAUGGGCCUAUCAAUGACAAGGAUGUUUGGAGCGUGAUACCUAUGCUCCUGAGGCCUAAGAGCAGGGGGUUUAUCAAGCUACGCAGCAAGAACCCGUUCGAUCAUCCGUUGAUCUAUCCGAAUUACUUCAAGGAGCCCGAGGAUGUCGCUACUCUAGUGGAGGGAGUCAAGAUUGGGGUUGCUCUGAGCAGAACUUCAGCGUUCAGACGUUUUGGGAGCGAGCUGAACUCGAAGAAGUUCCCUGGGUGCAAGCAUAUACCUAUGUACAGUGAUCUCUAUUGGGAAUGCAUGAUCAGGCACUAUUCUGCGACCAUUUACCACCCUGUGGGGACCUGCAAGAUGGGGCCAUACUGGGACCCAGAGGCUGUCGUGGAUCCUCAGCUUAGAGUCUAUGGAGUUAGCGGUCUUAGAGUCAUCGAUGCUUCUAUCAUGCCAAAUCUCGUCAGUGGGAAUACGAAUGCACCUGCUAUCAUGAUUGGGGAGAAGGGGUCUGAUAUGAUAAAGGAGUUCUGGCUGAAGAGGAGGGGUCGAGGGUGAAUUGCGUUGGCGGUGAAAUGGAGUGAGAUAAUACAGAGAGUUCAGAGAAGAUUCAGAGUUUAGAGAAUGUAUUCAGAGUUCAAACAAGAUUCAGAGUCAAACAAGAUUCAGAGUCAAACAAGAUUCAGAGUUCAAACAAGAUUCAGAGAUUAGAGUUCAAAGAAGAUUCAGAUAUGGAUUAGGAGUCCAGCUCUAACUCUAGACUAGAAGUUCCGGUAUUCUAGGAUGUAGAAAGAUGAUUCACAGGGUGAAAUGAAGACAAUGUUCUCUGAGCUCCGAGUGAAACACUUGUAAAUAUUGAAAUGUGUUACUCCAGGAGGCUAGGAAACUGACGUAUUUGGAGAUCUGAUGGAUCAGGAUUAUAGUGUUGAUGGGAAGGUGAUGUAUCAUAGAAAUUGGGGUUGAUGAUGCUCUAUUGGAAUGAUAUACUGAAGUCUGGUUACCUUUUUUAGAUCUAAGAUUCUGAAAUUUUUGUGGACACUGUGUGGUUACAACGAUAACUAUUUAUAAACACUGGUGACUCUACAGUAGGCUGUAUGUGUACAUAGAAAGAUGAAGUGUAGUAAUAAUUGUAGUAAUAUGAUACUCUUAGUUUAAGUGUAUAUGUCAUGAUUGUAAUAGAGAAAAAAAACAAUUUUUAUAUAACAGGACCCUGUACAUCCUGAAGAAUUAGGAAAUUAUUCAUCAGGAUAGUUACUUUAUUUGAUGUUGUUACAGAUAAAGCACUACCCGUGACUUCUACAAUAAAAGAGAAUACGAAAUAAAGGUCUUACACCUCCUUUUAUACAGCAAGUUUUUAUCGUGAAUUAUUAAACAUAAUUUUUAUUUGUUUGAUAAGCCUACCUGACUAAUCCGAUUAUAUAUGGAAAAACACUAUAUUCAUGCAACUGCGACAAAAAUCCAAAAGACUCGUGAAACACAGAUUAAAGAUACUUAAAUACUUACACAAAAUCUUAAUGUUUCUCUCUUACAUGAAGCAAUCAGAAAUAUGUCAACACAGACAAGCUGACAUUGCAAUGUUAUCAAAAAUAUCAUGUUUCUUUAAGUUGCUUAUUUAUCUUAUUACACAACUUCUUUUUGAAAAUGUUACCAUUGGCGUACAAGUUAUCUUUUUGAGAAAACAUUGCAAUUUCACUUUAUACGAUGAGGUAAUCUAUGUUCACAUAUUCUUCAUGCAUUGAGCCAAUUUAUUUCGAACAUAUCAGCUCAUCAUGGAGGUAUAAACCCAUCUUCCUUUACUUCAAGAUUAAAAUAAUCCUGGUGUACAUGUAGCUUGUUAAAUGUGUGUGUUCCUUA